CUGGCAGUUUGGGAAUAGAAGACACUGAACAGUAGGUUGUACUCAAACAGUUUGAGCAAGAAAGGAUCGAAGAUUCUGAGAGGGCUAGGAAAGCCAAAGCUUCUGCAGGGACAGAACGUGCUGUGUGCAUAGGAACAGAAGGUGCUGCGGGCACAGGAAUAGUUGUAACGGAGUCGAACAAGUGUCUGUCGGCUCCUGA
This 199-nucleotide small RNA is filed under the name Camellia sinensis. RNAcentral describes it as "transcribed RNA". The record is from RNAcentral. Lineage: Eukaryota; Viridiplantae; Streptophyta; Magnoliopsida; Ericales; Theaceae.